Schistosoma mansoni is the source of this 45-nucleotide non-coding RNA. NCBI's taxonomy places the organism in Eukaryota, Metazoa, Platyhelminthes, Trematoda, Strigeidida, Schistosomatidae. The record is from Rfam.
AUCCAGCUGACGAGUCCCAAAUAGGAUGAAACGCAUUUCCUGGAA